AACCCAGUCCUUAUUUUGAAAGAGAGUUGACAGACAAAUGAUUUCUUUUAGUUGAGCUUUCUGAAUAUACUUAUUUUAAGUUUGUUGUUUGAUGCAGUGGGAUCCUCAAGCUGUAUGCAAAAGGCAAAGAGACAUGCCUGGUAAUGCAUUAUCCAAGGGACACAGAAACAGCUUUUUGACAGGCCACUCUUCCUGCUAACACCUGGUAAAUGCAGAGACCCGGCUCCAUGUAAGUCUCAUUCUGGUCUCCUAAGCCAAAUGCUCUACACUGGCAUUUCUAGGAGGUUACUGCUCUGCUCGUGGGGUUUGAAUCGCUCAAGUCUUUGGCCUCGUGCCCUGAAGUGCCAGCAGAGGCUUGCUGUAAUUGCCCGCAGCAGAGCUUGCAGCAGUGACAAGCUGUAAUCCCAAGGAAAACUGCUUGUGCCUGUGGCCUGGGUUAACCUGCUGGCAGAGAUACGUGCCUGGGCAGGGGCUGCUGUUUCACAGAGCUCAGCAUGGACGUGCUGCCACUCCCAGCCACUUUCAGGACACAGGUGAGUUGUUUACAGCAAUCUCAAAAAAACUUGUAAUAAAGUUGUUCUGCCUUGCUGGAGCCACCACUCCCAGAGACCUUUCCCCUUUCUUGGCUACUGUGGGAGCCUCCUUCCUUUAGCUUCACACCUUUAUCAGCUAGAAAUGAUACGGUUCAGAACUGGUUGUGGUCAGGCUCUCUCUCAGAAGGAGAGGCUACACUGUCACUCUGUUGUGGCUGCUGAGAACUGGAAGAUCAGAGAGGACAAGGGGGAAGUGGAAGCCUGAUCCUUCUUUUAUGUGGAAUGGAGUCAGGAUAUGCCCUUGUAUGAAGUUCAGCAGACAAAAACUUGGGCUGCAGUCACAUUCCUAUGCACCGUGCCAUUCCAGUCAGCCUGGUACUAAUCUCCACGGAUCUCUGAAGGCAUGAAACAACAUGCAGUGUAAAUGAAAUCCGAGCCACACCAUACCACAGUACUGGUGCCAGCCAGUUUUAGAAGACUUCCAUGAGAGCCAAAGGAAACAGGUAGAAUGGUAGGAGAUGCCUUGUAUCACCUGCAGGCACAGACCUACAGCACUCGAGCAGCUCCCAGGUCCCAGAGCAACGUGAGGCAUGUGAAAAGCUGGUGAACCCAGGGCUACUUAGACUUGAAUGCACUUUCCUGGGGAGGAAGUGGCUUUUCCCUUGGAAAGCUCAACUCCCCAGCGUCUGCAUGAGGUCAAUGGAAAAAGUGAUUUCUUCAGAAUAUGAUUCAGAGUGCCUAAGCAGAGGCUUAUCUUAUUGACUACAGAGGAAGCUCAACCUCUGUAGAUUUAAACUCACUUUUGAGAGUACUCAUCCCCUCUUGCCCCUUAGUUGUGGGAGUUAUACUAGACCUGGAUGUGGUUAGUCCUUGGUAGGCACACGAUCUACUGAAAUUCAGGUGCUGCAGACCAAAGCUAAGAGCUUGUCUACCAGAACACAGAGUGUCCUGUUGGAUCCUGUUUUG
Molecule: long non-coding RNA, 1499 nt
Filed under: Corvus moneduloides (New Caledonian crow)
Lineage: Eukaryota; Metazoa; Chordata; Aves; Passeriformes; Corvidae
Description: lncRNA (ENSCMUG00000018924.1)
Source: RNAcentral